GAUGAACGCUGGCGGCGUGCCUAAUACAUGCAAGUCGAGCGAACAGACGAGGAGCUUGCUCCUCUGACGUUAGCGGCGGACGGGUGAGUAACACGUGGAUAACCUACCUAUAAGACUGGGAUAACUUCGGGAAACCGGAGCUAAUACCGGAUAAUAUAUUGAACCGCAUGGUUCAAUAGUGAAAGACGGUUUUGCUGUCACUUAUAGAUGGAUCCGCGCCGCAUUAGCUAGUUGGUAAGGUAACGGCUUACCAAGGCAACGAUGCGUAGCCGACCUGAGAGGGUGAUCGGCCACACUGGAACUGAGACACGGUCCAGACUCCUACGGGAGGCAGCAGUAGGGAAUCUUGCGCAAUGGGCGAAAGCCUGACGGAGCAACGCCGCGUGGGUGAAGAAGGUCUUCGGGUCGUAAAACUCUUUUAUUAGGGAAGAACAAAUGUGUAAGUAACUAUGCACGUCUUGACGGUACCUAAUCAGAAAGCCACGGCUAACUACGUG
RNAcentral lists this ribosomal RNA (497 nucleotides) under uncultured bacterium. Its description in RNAcentral is "partial 16S ribosomal RNA". It matches the Rfam family "Bacterial small subunit ribosomal RNA", at positions 28 to 507 of the family's 1533-position model. The record is from RNAcentral.